RNAcentral lists this ribosomal RNA (800 nucleotides) under uncultured Funneliformis. RNAcentral describes it as "SSU rRNA". It matches the Rfam family "Eukaryotic small subunit ribosomal RNA", at positions 314 to 1114 of the family's 1831-position model. The record is from RNAcentral. Lineage: Eukaryota; Fungi; Glomeromycota; Glomeromycetes; Glomerales; Glomeraceae.
AUCAACUUUCGAUGGUAGGAUAGAGGCCUACCAUGGUGGUAACGGGUAACGGGGUGUUAGGGCACGACACCGGAGAGGGAGCCUGAGAAACGGCUACCACAUCCAAGGAAGGCAGCAGGCGCGCAAAUUACCCAGUCCCGACACGGGGAGGUAGUGACAAUAAAUAACAAUACAGGGUUCUUUUGGAUCUUGUAAUUGGAAUGAGUACAAUUUAAAUCUCUUAACGAGGAACAAUUGGAGGGCAAGUCUGGUGCCAGCAGCCGCGGUAAUUCCAGCUCCAAUAGCGUAUAUUAAAGUUGUUGCAGUUAAAAAGCUCGUAGUUGAAUUUCGGGAUCAAUGUUUCGGUCAUGCCGUUGGUAUGUACUGAUAUUAUUGGUUUCUCACCUUCUAAAGAACCGUAAUGCCAUUAAUUUGGUGUCACGGGGAAUUAGGACUGUUACCUUGAAAAAAUUAGAGUGUUUAAAGCAGGCUCACGCUUGAAUACAUUAGCAUGGAAUAAUGAAAUAGGACAUCCGAUUCUAUUUUGUUGGUUUCUAGGAUCGAUGUAAUGAUUAAUAGGGAUAGUUGGGGGCAUUAGUAUUCAAUUGUCAGAGGUGAAAUUCUUGGAUUUAUUGAAGACUAACUACUGCGAAAGCAUUUGCCAAGGAUGUUUUCAUUAAUCAAGAACGAAAGUUAGGGGAUCGAAGACGAUCAGAUACCGUCGUAGUCUUAACCAUAAACUAUGCCGACUAGGGAUCGGAUGAUGUUAAUUUUUUAAUGACUCAUUCGGCGCCUUACGGGAAACCAAAGUGUUUGGGUUC